This 353-nucleotide ribosomal RNA is filed under the name Scinax nebulosus (Spix's snouted treefrog). RNAcentral's name for it is "partial 12S ribosomal RNA". Lineage: Eukaryota; Metazoa; Chordata; Amphibia; Anura; Hylidae. The record is from RNAcentral.
UGUAAUCAGUUUUUACUCAACUUACACAUGCAAGUCUCCGCACCCCUGUGAAAACGCCCUCUAACCCUCUAGGGACGAGGAGCUGGUAUCAGGCUCAAUUAUUAGCCCAAGACACCUAGCUUAGCCACACCCACAAGGGCAUUCAGCAGUGAUCAACAUUGACCAUAAGCGAAAGCUUGAUUCAGUCAGAGUAUAUAGGGCCGGCAAACCUGGUGCCAGCCGCCGCGGCUAUACCAUGGGGCCCAAACUGAUUUCUUUCGGCGUAAAGCGUGGUUAAAGUUAUUGUAGACUGUAGUUAUACCAGUACUAAGCUGUGAAAUGCUUGUGACUGAGAGACACAAAAACGAAAGUUA